RNAcentral lists this ribosomal RNA (118 nucleotides) under Clostridiaceae bacterium HSG29. Lineage: Bacteria; Bacillati; Bacillota; Clostridia; Eubacteriales; Clostridiaceae. The record is from RNAcentral.
UCUGGUGGCAAUAGCGAGAAGGUAACACCUGUUCCCAUUCCGAACACAGAAGUAAAGCUUCUUAGCGCUAAAAGUACUUGGGCGGGCAACCCCCUGGGAGGAUAAGACGCUGCCAGAU